AACCCUUAGCCAUACACUCCCUACCCUAGCUCGGCAUGACUGUGUAAUGUAAAACUUGUGCAAAAAGAUAAGUUUGGGGUAUGCAUCCAUAAAUUGAAAAUGUUGUUGAAAAAUGGCAAGUGCAAGGAAAAGAAAGAAGAAAAAAAAGUGUGUAGAAACAUCCGCUUCUACCGAAAAAAAAGAGAAAAAGAAAUGAAAAAAAUAAGCACUUGCCUUAGAAAUAGACUCGUGCAUUAAAAUGAAGUUGAGUGGAAAAAGAGUAAAGAUUUGACGACA
Molecule: long non-coding RNA, 276 nt
Filed under: Lathyrus oleraceus (garden pea)
Lineage: Eukaryota; Viridiplantae; Streptophyta; Magnoliopsida; Fabales; Fabaceae
Description: Pisum sativum (pea) long non-coding RNA (PSAT_LNC031022)
Source: RNAcentral